RNAcentral lists this ribosomal RNA (769 nucleotides) under uncultured bacterium. RNAcentral's name for it is "bacterial SSU rRNA". It matches the Rfam family "Bacterial small subunit ribosomal RNA", at positions 71 to 850 of the family's 1533-position model. The record is from RNAcentral.
CCUCGGUGCUUGCACCGGGUGAUCAGUGGCGAACGGGUGAGUAACACGUGAGCAACCUGCCCCCGACCCUGGGAUAACCCCGAGAAAUCGGAGCUAAUACCGGAUACGAGACGCACAGGCAUCUGUAGCGUCUGGAAAGAUUCAUCGGUCAGGGAUGGGCUCGCGGCCUAUCAGCUAGUUGGUGAGGUAGUGGCUUACCAAGGCGACGACGGGUAGCCGGCCUGAGAGGGCGACCGACCACACUGGGACUGAGACACGGCCCAGACUCCUACGGGAGGCAGCAGUGGGGAAUAUUGCACAAUGGGCGCAAGCCUGAUGCAGCGACGCCGCGUGGGGGAUGAAGGCCUUCGGGUUGUAAACCCCUUUCAGCAGGGAAGAAGCGAAAGUGACGGUACCUGCAGAAGAAGCGCCGGCUAACUACGUGCCAGCAGCCGCGGUAAUACGUAGGGCGCAAGCGUUGUCCGGAUUUAUUGGGCGUAAAGAGCUCGUAGGCGGUUUGUCGCGUCUGCUGUGAAAACCCGAGGCUCAACCUCGGGCCUGCAGUGGGUACGGGCAGACUAGAGUGCGGUAGGGGAGACUGGAAUUCCUGGUGUAGCGGUGGAAUGCGCAGAUAUCAGGAGGAACACCGAUGGCGAAGGCAGGUCUCUGGGCCGCAACUGACGCUGAGGAGCGAAAGCAUGGGGAGCGAACAGGAUUAGAUACCCUGGUAGUCCAUGCCGUAAACGUUGGGCACUAGGUGUGGGGCUCAUUCCACGAGUUCCGUGCCGCA